This 393-nucleotide transfer-messenger RNA is filed under the name Eubacteriales. RNAcentral's name for it is "RGIG4608 sp017628875 Standard tmRNA". It matches the Rfam family "transfer-messenger RNA". From Rfam's summary of the family: Bacterial tmRNA, also known as 10Sa RNA or SsrA, is named for its dual tRNA and mRNA-like properties. Lineage: Bacteria; Bacillati; Bacillota; Clostridia. RNAcentral also lists the same sequence under 1 other name. The record is from RNAcentral.
GGGCUCGUAAUGGUUUCGACGGGGAUUUUGAGGUAUGAUAAGCGUGGCGGGCUGAGUAAUCCCGAUAACUGCUCAACUUUAAAAUUAAACGACAACAAUUCUGUUGCUAUGGCUGCCUAAUUGACGCGCCUUAGGGCGCUUCAAUUGGCAGUGCUGUGACCUGCGGGUCACCCGUUCCUCCGCAGAGGACCACGACUGCGGACUGAGCGUCAUCGUAGUGGUGAACUUGCAUCGGUGGUCGCACCUGAACCGAUCAAGCAGAAAGGUGCUACGGACUGCGCGUUGCCUGUCAGUUGGCGGCGCGUAGUGGGAAGAAAUAAAAACUGACUGCCCACGGAGAAGGUCAUAUCAAGAGGUUUUCGGACAGGGGUUCGAUUCCCCUCGGGUCCACCA